GGCCACGGUGAUCGGGGAGAUCGGUGCCUCGGUGGCACCGGUGAUCAUGACGUCGGCGCUGCCCUCGCGGAUCAGUUCCACGGCGUGGCCG
Molecule: transfer RNA, 91 nt
Filed under: Streptomyces finlayi
Lineage: Bacteria; Bacillati; Actinomycetota; Actinomycetes; Kitasatosporales; Streptomycetaceae
Also listed under: 1 other name
Description: tRNA-Pro
Source: RNAcentral